Molecule: ribosomal RNA, 245 nt
Filed under: uncultured Tissierella sp.
Lineage: Bacteria; Bacillati; Bacillota; Tissierellia; Tissierellales; Tissierellaceae
Description: partial 16S ribosomal RNA
Rfam family: Bacterial small subunit ribosomal RNA
Source: RNAcentral
CACGCCGUAAACGAUGAGUGCUAGGUGUCGGGUGUCAAAGCUCGGUGCCGGAGCUAACGCAUUAAGCACUCCGCCUGGGGAGUACGUACGCAAGUAUGAAACUCAAAGGAAUUGACGGGGACCCGCACAAGCAGCGGAGCAUGUGGUUUAAUUCGAAGCAACGCGAAGAACCUUACCAGGACUUGACAUGCCCUUGCUCGUUCUAGAGAUAGAACUUUAUCUUCGGAGACAAGGGACACAGGUGG